UCUUCUUUUCCCCCUUCUUUUUCCCAAAAUUUCAAAUGAAAUCCCACCUGAAAUGUUUCUUCUUUUUUCCCCAUUUUAUUUUUCCCAAACCAUUUCUCCUUUAUUUUUUACCCCCAAUUUCCCCAAAUCGACAGCCCUCUGCAUCUCCGUUGGUCCUGCCCAUUUUUACAGCCUCGACUUAGGUGAACAAAACGACUACCUCAAAGGCGUCGUCACCGAUGUUAUCCAUGACCCAGGCCGCGGUGCGCCCUUAGCUCGCGUCAUGUUCCGUCACCCAUUCCGUUACAAGAAGCAGAAGGAAGGAUCUGUUCGUCGCCGCUGAGGGUAUGUACACCAGACAGUUCGUGUACUGUGGUAAGAAGGCCACCCUUAUGGUCGGAAACGUGUUGCCUCUUAGAUCUAUCCCCUAAGGAGCUGUCGUUUGCAACGUCGAACACCACGUUGGUGAUCGUGGGGUUUUCGCUCGGGCUUCUGGUGAUUAUGCCAUUGUUAUUAGUCACAACCCUGAUAACGACACUAUCAGCUGAAUUGUUUGUUAAUGGGGAGAUUGUUCAACGAUCACCAGAAAGACAAAGGAGGGUGGAACUACAACCGCAAAGGGCCCAAGACAGACCAAGGAUUGCUGACAAAUCACAGGUUUACACUCAACAUGCUUAUAUGAGACCUCUUGGAGUUGGUAUGUCUAUGAUUUCUUUAAAAUCUUAUGAAUAUGAUUUUGUUUUAAUUACUUGUAUUUGCAACAGUAGAUUUUUUACAAUUUUUCAGUUAGAUAUAUGCUAAUGUAUUUCUAAGUAACUUUCUCUAAUAUGUAAUGACAAAAAUGGAAGCAAUAUCGUUCUAGUAGUAGUAGUAGUAGUAGUAGUUAUUGAUGUAAAAUGGAGAAAUAUGAGGUGGUCAAAGAUUUGGGAGCCGGCAAUUUUGGGGUUGCUCGACUUCUCAGACACAAGGGUACCAAGGAGCUUGUUGCUAUGAAAUAUAUUGAGAGAGGUCACAAGGUUUGUUUCUUUAAUGUCUAUUAUCUCUCUCACUUGUUCUUGCAUUUUUUUGGGUAUUAUUAAUCCUGUUCAUUACUUCAUCACUUCGAAUCACGUUCUUCUUUCUGUCUCUUUCUUUUGAAUGCCAAACCGGUUGAUUGAAAGCUUAGCUUAGCUGUGUUUGUUUGCAAAUAGAUGAGAAUGUGGCAAGAGAGAUUAUCAAUCACAGAUCUCUUAGACACCCUAAUAUAAUCCAGUUCAAGGAGGCAAGUAUCGUCUCUUGCUUCAUUUCCCUUUUAAAAAAUUUAGGAUGUUUCUAUUUUUGAUGGGAUAUGAAUGCUGUACGUGGUUUUGAUGCCUACCCAUUUAGCAAUUGUGAUAGAGUAUGCUGGUGGUGGUGAGCUCUUUGAUCGAAUUUGCAGUGCUGGUAGAUUCAGUGAAGAUGAGGCUAGAUAUUUUUUUCAGCAGUUGAUCUCUAGUGUUAAUUACUGUCACUCCAUGGUGUUAAGAUGAAGGCAGCUGAGGAAGCCUUGGAAGCAAAACAAAAAGUAACAAAUAGCUUGUCUGCUACCUGUUCUUUUUAUUAUUAUCAUGUUUUAUAAUUUUGUGACAAAUUGUUCUUGGUACUCUGAAGAUAUUUAUGCAAAAUUACCCUAUGAUUCUAUUGUAUUUAUACUGCAUGGCUGCACCAUGUAUUUCUUAACUAGUUUGAUAAAUUUUA
Long non-coding RNA from Gossypium raimondii (Peruvian cotton), 1695 nucleotides. RefSeq lists it as uncharacterized. The record is from RefSeq and is a predicted model, not a curated record. The transcript is spliced from 4 exons. NCBI's taxonomy places the organism in Eukaryota, Viridiplantae, Streptophyta, Magnoliopsida, Malvales, Malvaceae.